UUUCAGGCUCCUUCUGCCUGAAUGAGCAGCUUGUGUCUGCAGUGUGGUGCUUUUUCAGGAGGAUUUCUGGCACACAUGGAAAUAAAACUUCAUUCUGGCAUACCUGAAAGGAAAAGGAUUCCGUGAUGCAACCAGUCCAACGUUAGGAACACGGACCGACGCUUCUACAAACCCGUGAAGGUUGGCAGGCUCCGAGUGGUAGAUGUACUUCCCCUGCUCGGCUAUGGUGGGCGCGUGGUGGGCGCUCUGGCUGGCCUUCAGCGGGUGGUAGUGACUCUUCAGUUCCACGUGGGUUGUCGGCAGGGUCAUGUGAUUUGUAGUCCGGAUUUUCCCGUUGGUGUCAGACACCCUGGACUGCGGUCCCUCCGGAUCGGGGCGCUUGCGCUGCGUGACCGGAGAGAACACCUUGACCACGUGGAUGUCCGGGACGCAAGUGGCUUUUGGCAGCUUCUCCGAGUGGGCCAGCUGGAGUUUCUUCAUGUGGUUGAUGGCUACAGCGGCAUUGAACGCUUGCUGUCAACAUAAGGGACAUCUAAGAGGCUGUCCGGGCCAGCAAAUAAUCACCACUUCAGUUUCCUUGACAUCGGCAACGUUGAUUACAACACAACAUCUAUUCAAUUGGCCUUAAUCAGGGGGAUUUGGGUAACCGCUUAAUUGAUCUACUGUAAACUGCAGGCCCUCAAUGGGCUUAACAAAUCCUGGAAAUCAGUGACGACUGACCUUCCACUUGGCCUUGGCAAAGUUCUUUUGGAUCUGAUCGCUGACUGAGUUGUAGAUGUCCUGGCUCCGGGCCGUUUUUCCAAUUAUCCUAGGAAACCACGACACAAAUUUUUCCAGGAAGGCAGUUAAUCCCGUGUCCAUGAAUGUGGCGUAACACAAGAGUAGAACCUUGUUUGUGUUCGCCAUGUAUCAUAUAUAUUUAGAAUAUUACUUUAACAUGGCACUUGAAGCGCUGGCAGUGAAAAGUUUAUUUGGCCCCAUGGUGAGGUAUUUUGCAAUUA
Non-coding RNA from Doryrhamphus excisus (bluestripe pipefish), 1001 nucleotides. Lineage: Eukaryota; Metazoa; Chordata; Actinopteri; Syngnathiformes; Syngnathidae. The record is from RefSeq and is a predicted model, not a curated record.